Molecule: ribosomal RNA, 446 nt
Filed under: uncultured bacterium
Lineage: Bacteria
Description: bacterial SSU rRNA
Rfam family: Bacterial small subunit ribosomal RNA
Source: RNAcentral
GUGAGGAAUUUUGGACAAUGGGGGCAACCCUGAUCCAGCGACGCCGCGUGAAGGAUGAAGGUCUUCGGAUUGUAAACUUCUUUUAUUUGGGACUAAGAAACCUGUAGAAAUAUGGAGCGUGAAUGUACCAAGUGAAUAAGCCACGGCUAACUUCGUGCCAGCAGCCGCGGUAAUACGAAGGUGGCAAGCGUUACUCGGAAUUACUAGGCGUAAAGGGCAGGUAGGUGGUUUGGUAAGUCUAUUGUGAAAGCUCCCGGCUUAACUGGGAGAGGUCAAUGGAUACUGCUGAACUUGAGUAUAGGAGAGGUUACUGGAAUUCCCGGUGUAGCGGUGAAAUGCGCAGAGAUCGGGAGGAACACCAAUGGCGAAAGCAGGUAACUGGACUAUUACUGACACUCAGCUGCGAAAGCUAGGGGAGCAAACAGGAUUAGAUACCCCAGUAGUCC